UGGGGGAUAUUGCACAAUGGGCGAAAGCCUGAUGCAGCGACGCCGCGUGGGGGAUGAAGGCUUUCGGGUUGUAAACCUCUUUCGCUAUCGAACAAGGCCCGCUUAGGGUGGGUUGAGGGUAGGUGGAGAAGAAGCGCCGGCUAACUACGUGCCAGCAGCCGCGGUAAUACGUAGGGCGCGAGCGUUGUCCGGAAUUAUUGGGCGUAAAGGGCUUGUAGGCGGCUUGUUGCGCCUGCUGUGAAAACGCGGGGCUUAACUUCGCGCGUGCAGUGGGUACGGGCAGGCUUGAGUGUGGUAGUGGUGACGGGAAUUCCAGGUGUAGCGGUGGAAUGCGCAGAUAUCUGGAGGAACACCGAUGGCGAAGGCAGGGCACUGGGCCAUUACUGACGCUGAGGAGCGAAAGCAUGGGUAGCGAACAGG
Molecule: ribosomal RNA, 420 nt
Filed under: bacterium
Lineage: Bacteria
Description: partial 16S ribosomal RNA
Rfam family: Bacterial small subunit ribosomal RNA
Source: RNAcentral